Strongylocentrotus purpuratus (purple sea urchin) is the source of this 82-nucleotide non-coding RNA. The record is from Rfam. Lineage: Eukaryota; Metazoa; Echinodermata; Echinoidea; Camarodonta; Strongylocentrotidae.
GUUGUCGUGGCCGAGUGGUUAAGGCGAUAGCCUAGAAAGCUAUUGGGGUCUCCCCGCGCAGGUUCGAACCCUGCCGACAACG